CCCUGGGCUUUAAUAAAACCACCAUUUUGCACCAAAGACUUCUCAAGAAUUCUUUCUUGGUCAUCGGCUCCAGACUUCACCCCACCAGAUGUCAUCUAUAUUCCAAAACCACAUCAAGUCUCUGAGCGCAGAAAUUUUCCUAGACUCUGAUGGACAGAAUGGCUCCCACUUCCAUUGCAGUUGCUUCAUACUGUCUUCUGGAUUACAAUUUCCUCCAACCUGUUUCAUCUGCUCCAACUGUGCAGUUUGCCUUCCUGGGAAACACCGCACCCCCCAGCCAGACCAGGCCCUGCCCGCAGGCAUCCUCUCCUAAAGAAAAG
Long non-coding RNA from Zalophus californianus (California sea lion), 320 nucleotides. RefSeq lists it as uncharacterized. The record is from RefSeq and is a predicted model, not a curated record. NCBI's taxonomy places the organism in Eukaryota, Metazoa, Chordata, Mammalia, Carnivora, Otariidae. The transcript has 3 exons.